This 238-nucleotide unclassified non-coding RNA is filed under the name Hevea brasiliensis (rubber tree). Lineage: Eukaryota; Viridiplantae; Streptophyta; Magnoliopsida; Malpighiales; Euphorbiaceae. The record is from RNAcentral.
GACAGCUUUGAGAGAUGUGCAGAAUCAAAAAAACCAGCUUGAUGAGUAGCCAUCAAGAAAAUUCACAUUUUUUAGGCGUAAGACCUAUUGCAGAUCCAACUAGGGUAUGUGGAACUAAGAGGCUUACACCUGAGCGUCCUUCAAAUACCAAUUCUAGCAAAUCUUUGAGCAGCAAUGAUACAAAUGACAAUAUACUUAAUGCUCGACGAAGAUUUGAUCUAGAACUGGGUAAAGGAAG